GCUACACCAUAGACUGUGAGUUGCGAACGGGUGAGUAACGCGUAGGUAACCUGCCUAUUAGAGGGGGAUAACUAUUGGAAACGAUAGCUAAUACCGCAUAACAGUAUGUAACACAUGUUAGAUGCUUGAAAGAUGCAAUUGCAUCGCUAGUAGAUGGACCUGCGUUGUAUUAGCUAGUAGGUAGGGUAAAGGCCUACCUAGGCAACGAUACAUAGCCGACCUGAGAGGGUGAUCGGCCACACUGGGACUGAGACACGGCCCAGACUCCUACGGGAGGCAGCAGUAGGGAAUCUUCGGCAAUGGGGGGAACCCUGACCGAGCAACGCCGCGUGAGUGAAGAAGGUUUUCGGAUCGUAAAGCUCUGUUGUUAAGGAAGAACGAGUGUGAGAAUGGAAAGUUCAUACUGUGACGGUACUUAACCAGAAAGGGACGGCUAACUACGUGCCAGCAGCCGCGGUAAUACGUAGGUCCCGAGCGUUGUCCGGAUUUAUUGGGCGUAAAGCGAGCGCAGGCGGUUAGAAAAGUCUGAAGUGAAAGGCAGUGGCUCAACCAUUGUAGGCUUUGGAAACUGUUUAACUUGAGUGCAGAAGGGGAGAGUGGAAUUCCAUGUGUAGCGGUGAAAUGCGUAGAUAUAUGGAGGAACACCGGUGGCGAAAGCGGCUCUCUGGUCUGUAACUGACGCUGAGGCUCGAAAGCGUGGGGAGCGAACAGGAUUAGAUACCCUGGUAGUCCACGCCGUAAACGAUGAGUGCUAGGUGUUAGGUCCUUUCCGGGACUUAGUGCC
This 784-nucleotide ribosomal RNA is filed under the name uncultured Streptococcaceae bacterium. RNAcentral describes it as "bacterial SSU rRNA". It matches the Rfam family "Bacterial small subunit ribosomal RNA", at positions 79 to 847 of the family's 1533-position model. Lineage: Bacteria; Bacillati; Bacillota; Bacilli; Lactobacillales; Streptococcaceae. The record is from RNAcentral.